Molecule: ribosomal RNA, 2639 nt
Filed under: Klebsiella pneumoniae subsp. pneumoniae
Lineage: Bacteria; Pseudomonadati; Pseudomonadota; Gammaproteobacteria; Enterobacterales; Enterobacteriaceae
Description: bacterial LSU rRNA
Rfam family: Bacterial large subunit ribosomal RNA
Source: RNAcentral
ACUAUCGUUAACUGAAUACAUAGGUUAACGAGGCGAACCGGGGGAACUGAAACAUCUAAGUACCCCGAGGAAAAGAAAUCAACCGAGAUUCCCCCAGUAGCGGCGAGCGAACGGGGAGCAGCCCAGAGUCUGAAUCAGCUUGUGUGUUAGUGGAACGGUCUGGAAAGUCCGACGGUACAGGGUGAUAGUCCCGUACACCAAAAUGCACAGGCUGUGAACUCGAAGAGUAGGGCGGGACACGUGGUAUCCUGUCUGAAUAUGGGGGGACCAUCCUCCAAGGCUAAAUACUCCUGACUGACCGAUAGUGAACCAGUACCGUGAGGGAAAGGCGAAAAGAACCCCGGCGAGGGGAGUGAAAAAGAACCUGAAACCGUGUACGUACAAGCAGUGGGAGCACCUUCGGGUGUGACUGCGUACCUUUUGUAUAAUGGGUCAGCGACUUAUAUUCUGUAGCAAGGUUAACCGUAUAGGGGAGCCGCAGGGAAACCGAGUCUUAACUGGGCGUUAAGUUGCAGGGUAUAGACCCGAAACCCGGUGAUCUAGCCAUGGGCAGGUUGAAGGUUGGGUAACACUAACUGGAGGACCGAACCGACUAAUGUUGAAAAAUUAGCGGAUGACUUGUGGCUGGGGGUGAAAGGCCAAUCAAACCGGGAGAUAGCUGGUUCUCCCCGAAAGCUAUUUAGGUAGCGCCUCGUGAACUCAUCUUCGGGGGUAGAGCACUGUUUCGGCUAGGGGGUCAUCCCGACUUACCAACCCGAUGCAAACUACGAAUACCGAAGAAUGUUAUCACGGGAGACACACGGCGGGUGCUAACGUCCGUCGUGAAGAGGGAAACAACCCAGACCGCCAGCUAAGGUCCCAAAGUCAUGGUUAAGUGGGAAACGAUGUGGGAAGGCACAGACAGCCAGGAUGUUGGCUUAGAAGCAGCCAUCAUUUAAAGAAAGCGUAAUAGCUCACUGGUCGAGUCGGCCUGCGCGGAAGAUGUAACGGGGCUAAACCAUGCACCGAAGCUGCGGCAGCGACACUAUGUGUUGUUGGGUAGGGGAGCGUUCUGUAAGCCUGCGAAGGUGACCUGUGAGGGUUGCUGGAGGUAUCAGAAGUGCGAAUGCUGACAUAAGUAACGAUAAAGCGGGUGAAAAGCCCGCUCGCCGGAAGACCAAGGGUUCCUGUCCAACGUUAAUCGGGGCAGGGUGAGUCGACCCCUAAGGCGAGGCCGAAAGGCGUAGUCGAUGGGAAACAGGUUAAUAUUCCUGUACUUGGUGUUACUGCGAAGGGGGGACGGAGAAGGCUAUGUUAGCCGGGCGACGGUUGUCCCGGUUUAAGCAUGUAGGCUGGUUGUCCAGGCAAAUCCGGAUAAUCAAGGCUGAGGUGUGAUGACGAGGCACUACGGUGCUGAAGUAACAAAUGCCCUGCUUCCAGGAAAAGCCUCUAAGCAUCAGGUAACAUUAAAUCGUACCCCAAACCGACACAGGUGGUCAGGUAGAGAAUACCAAGGCGCUUGAGAGAACUCGGGUGAAGGAACUAGGCAAAAUGGUGCCGUAACUUCGGGAGAAGGCACGCUGGUGUGUAGGUGAAGCCCCUGCGGGUGGAGCUGAGACCAGUCGAAGAUACCAGCUGGCUGCAACUGUUUAUUAAAAACACAGCACUGUGCAAACACGAAAGUGGACGUAUACGGUGUGACGCCUGCCCGGUGCCGGAAGGUUAAUUGAUGGGGUUAUCCGUAAGGAGAAGCUCUUGAUCGAAGCCCCGGUAAACGGCGGCCGUAACUAUAACGGUCCUAAGGUAGCGAAAUUCCUUGUCGGGUAAGUUCCGACCUGCACGAAUGGCGUAAUGAUGGCCAGGCUGUCUCCACCCGAGACUCAGUGAAAUUGAACUCGCUGUGAAGAUGCAGUGUACCCGCGGCAAGACGGAAAGACCCCGUGAACCUUUACUAUAGCUUGACACUGAACAUUGAGCCUUGAUGUGUAGGAUAGGUGGGAGGCUUUGAAGCGUGGACGCCAGUCUGCGUGGAGCCAACCUUGAAAUACCACCCUUUAAUGUUUGAUGUUCUAACGUUGGCCCCUGACCGGGGUUGCGGACAGUGUCUGGUGGGUAGUUUGACUGGGGCGGUCUCCUCCCAAAGCGUAACGGAGGAGCACGAAGGUUAGCUAAUCCUGGUCGGACAUCAGGAGGUUAGUGCAAUGGCAUAAGCUAGCUUGACUGCGAGCGUGACGGCGCGAGCAGGUGCGAAAGCAGGUCAUAGUGAUCCGGUGGUUCUGAAUGGAAGGGCCAUCGCUCAACGGAUAAAAGGUACUCCGGGGAUAACAGGCUGAUACCGCCCAAGAGUUCAUAUCGACGGCGGUGUUUGGCACCUCGAUGUCGGCUCAUCACAUCCUGGGGCUGAAGUAGGUCCCAAGGGUAUGGCUGUUCGCCAUUUAAAGUGGUACGCGAGCUGGGUUUAGAACGUCGUGAGACAGUUCGGUCCCUAUCUGCCGUGGGCGCUGGAGAAUUGAGGGGGGCUGCUCCUAGUACGAGAGGACCGGAGUGGACGCAUCACUGGUGUUCGGGUUGUCAUGCCAAUGGCACUGCCCGGUAGCUAAAUGCGGAAGAGAUAAGUGCUGAAAGCAUCUAAGCACGAAACUUGCCCCGAGAUGAGUUCU